AUCAAGCUGACGAGUCCCAAAUAGGACGAAACGCGCGCCCAU
Molecule: non-coding RNA, 42 nt
Filed under: Schistosoma mattheei
Lineage: Eukaryota; Metazoa; Platyhelminthes; Trematoda; Strigeidida; Schistosomatidae
Source: RNAcentral